AACGAACGCUGGCGGCAUGCCUAACACAUGCAAGUCGAACGAGACCUUCGGGUCUAGUGGCGCACGGGUGCGUAACGCGUGGGAACCUGCCCUUAGGUUCGGAAUAACUCCCCGACAGGGGUGCUAAUACCGGAUAAUGUCUUCGGACCAAAGAUUUAUCGCCUUUGGAUGGGCCCGCGUUGGAUUAGCUAGUUGGUAGGGUAAAAGCCUACUAAGGCGACGAUCCAUAGCUGGUCUGAGAGGAUGAUCAGCCACACUGGGACUGAGAAACGGCCCAGACUCCUACGGGAGGCAGCAGUGGGGAAUAUUGGACAGUGGGCGAAAGCCUGAUCCAGCAAUGCCGCGUGAGUGAUGAAGGCCUUAGGGUUGUAAAGCUCUUUUACCCGGGAUGAUAAUGACAGUACCGGGAGAAUAAGCUCCGGCUAACUCCGUG
RNAcentral lists this ribosomal RNA (433 nucleotides) under uncultured bacterium. Its description in RNAcentral is "partial 16S ribosomal RNA". It matches the Rfam family "Bacterial small subunit ribosomal RNA", at positions 29 to 507 of the family's 1533-position model. The record is from RNAcentral.